Molecule: non-coding RNA, 299 nt
Organism: Chelonoidis abingdonii (Abingdon island giant tortoise)
Lineage: Eukaryota; Metazoa; Chordata; Testudines; Testudinidae
Source: RefSeq, a predicted model, not a curated record
UUUACAUUUAUCCACAUUAAAUUUCAUUGGCAUUUUGUUGCCCAAUCUUGUUUUUGUGAGUCUUUUUGAAGUUCGUCACAGUCUGCUUCGGUCUUAACUAUCUUGAGCAGUUUAGUAUCAUCUGCAACUUUGCCACCUCACUGUUUACCCCUUUCUCAGAUCAUUUAUGAAUAGUUGAAUAGGAUUGGUCCAAGACUGACUUGGGAAGACACUAGUUACUCCUCUCCUUUCUGAGAAUUUACCAUUAAUUCCUACCUUUGUUCCCUGUCUUUUAACCAGUUCACAAUACAUGAAAAGAU